Molecule: ribosomal RNA, 392 nt
Filed under: uncultured bacterium
Lineage: Bacteria
Description: bacterial SSU rRNA
Rfam family: Bacterial small subunit ribosomal RNA
Source: RNAcentral
GACGAACGCUGGCGGCGUGCUUAACACAUGCAAGUCGAGCGGUAAGGCCCUUUCGGGGGUACGACGAGCGGCGAACGGGUGAGUAACACGUGGGUGACCUGCCCUCCAGCUCUGGGAGUAAGCCUGGGAAACCGGGUCUAAUACUGGAUAUGACUCCAUGACGCAUGUUGGUGGGGUGGAAAGCCUUGUGCGGCUGAGGAUGGGCCCGCGGCCUAUCAGCUUGUUGGUGGGGUGANGGCCUACCAAGGCGACGACGGGUAGCCGGCCUGAGAGGGCGACCGGCCACACUGGGACUGAGACACGGCCCAGACUCCUACGGGAGGCAGCAGUGGGGAAGUCUUGCGCAAUGGGCGAAAGCCUGACGCAGCGACGCCGCGUGAGGGAUGACGGCC